GUCUAUGGCCAUACCACCCUGAAUACACCCAAUCUCAUCUGAACCCAGAAGUCAAGCAGGGUUGGGCCUGGUUAGUACUUGGAUGGGAGACCACCUGGGAAUACCAGGUGCUGUAGGCG
Ribosomal RNA from Panthera leo (lion), 119 nucleotides. The record is from Ensembl. NCBI's taxonomy places the organism in Eukaryota, Metazoa, Chordata, Mammalia, Carnivora, Felidae.